AGCAGUGUGGGCGAACUGUGGAGA
RNAcentral lists this non-coding RNA (24 nucleotides) under Cricetulus griseus (Chinese hamster). Lineage: Eukaryota; Metazoa; Chordata; Mammalia; Rodentia; Cricetidae. The record is from RNAcentral.